Molecule: long non-coding RNA, 4839 nt
Organism: Chiroxiphia lanceolata (lance-tailed manakin)
Lineage: Eukaryota; Metazoa; Chordata; Aves; Passeriformes; Pipridae
Exons: 3
Source: RefSeq, a predicted model, not a curated record
UGGGGAGCACUGCCAGAGCUGUGCAGGACACACAGGGCUUGGUUAUUAGUGGGAUUCAGGGCAGGAAUGGAAGAACUGGCAAACAGGAAGGAAGAAAACUGAAGGAAAAGGGGAGCACUAAGACCUCCCUCCCCCCUCCGCCUGUGCAGCUUACGGUUCUGCGUUGGGAGAGGUAUUUCCAGGAAGGAAGAAGAGAAGAAGGAGGAAGAUGUUUGGUUUGCUGGGCAGCUUGUUCUUCCCCAUGGUGCAGAGCAGGUUGUGGUUUUGGGUGGAAAGCUUUCAUCAGAUUGGCCAGGGUCCCCCAUCCUACCUGUGCCACAAGAUAUCACUGAUGUCAGGAUGUCACUGAUUGACCUGUCCAAGGGAUGAUUCUACAGGAACAAAACCUGAGAGCAUCUUCACAUCAACAAUAGCCAUAUUGGAGACUUUACGCUUUCCUGUGUAACUAAAAUGAGAAAAGUUCUGUUAGUCUGGUCUGCAAAUGGAAAGGAGAUCAGUGAAUAAUAUUUUCAGCUUCCAACAAUCCUGUUUUUCUUCCUAUAGCUACACAGCAGCAAAUUACUUGUAUUUAAAUCCUUCCUUGCAUGUUUUUCAAAACUGUGAAUGCAAGAGGGUAGAUCAAUGAAAGAAAGUUACCUGGCAAAAAGGACAAGGUCAAACUUUGGUGGAGAGUUGCUUGUGCAGGAUACAUUCGCUGUCCUUACGGAGAGAGAAAAUCCUGCAACUUUAUUUGGCAAAUGGAUGUUGUAUCUCAGAGUGGUCUAAAAGAGAUGGAAAGCAUGAGAUGGUAACGGACUUAAAGGGUUUUGUGUCUUUGGCAUGACAUAUGCAGAGGAAAAAAGUAUGGAGAACCCCAUGCUUAUAUCUUAGAGAGGUCGUGCUGAGUUUCCAGCUUGCUUACCUGCAGAUAAACACAGCCAGUGCCAUUCACUUCCACACUGUAAUUCCCCGGAAUAGUAGGCAAGGAAGCCUGCUGCAGUAAGAAGCGGUUCUUGUCAUUCACCUGGAAAAUCCUACUGGGGGACUCCAUAGAGUGGACUUUGACUGUGUUAAGAUUUGUUUUUGAGAAGGUGAGGUAUCCGUACUGGGCUAAAGCUUGGAGAGCAACAACAGUAUCCUGAAAAGAGAACGAUCCCUAAUUAGAUACCCAAGUGUAAGAUGGUACGUGAGAUUAGCACAGCUCCUAUUGCCUUGAUGCUUUAUCAGUGCUUAUAAAUGGAGAGGGGCUUUGCAAGGAGCUAAGGAGACAAGAUACAAGUUCCUUGUAGAACUUGUCCUGGUGGACAGAAAGCUGACCCUAAGUCGGCAGUGUGCCUGGUGACCAAGAAGGCCACCUAGGGCACAUUAGGAAGAACUUUGCCAGCAGGACAAGGGAGUUGAUCCUCCCCCUCUUCUCAGCUCUAGUGAGGCACGUUGGGACUGCUGUGUCAAGUUCUGGGCUUCUUAGUAAAGAGAGACAUGGAGCUCCUGGAGCAGGUCCAAAGGAGGGUGACAAAGAUUAUUAAAGGAAUAAAGCAUCUCUUAUAAAGAAAGGUUGAAGGAGUUGGGCCUGUUCCGCCUCAAAAAGAGAUGAAUGAGAGGAGACCUCAUCAAUGUCUAUAAAUAUCUGAAGGGAAGGUGUCAAGAAGAUACCACGAGGUUCUUCUCAGUGCUGCCAAGCAAUAGCACAUGAGGCAAUGGGCAGAAAGUGAUGCACAGGAAGUUCCACCUGAACACAGGGAAGAACUUCUUUACUGUGCAGGUGACUGUGCACUGGAACAGGUUGUCUAGAGAGGUUGUGAAGUCUCCCUUACUGGAGAUAUUAAAGAACCAUCUGCAUGCAAUUAUGUGCAGUGUGCUCUAGGAUAACCCUGCUUGAGGAGUGAGGUUGGACCAGAUGACCCACUGAAGUCCCUUCCAAUCUGACCCAUUCUGUGAUUCUGGGGCAACAGAUUUCAAUUAACCCAAAAGACCUGGUAUAAUGCUGUGGCAACAGUGACUGCUGUCUACUGCUAACUUGGAACUCAGGUAAAUUGUCAUUACCUAAAACUAAAUUAUGUAUGAAGCUGCCUACAAAGAGCAUGAUGUCUCCUGACAAGAUAGCCUGUGUGAGCACCAAUUAUCAAAUAUUAUUCAAAUCAAUAUGCAGUCAGGAAACAUUGUCUUAGUACUGAGAUUCAGCUUGCAGACUGGACUGCUCCCAGAAGCUUUCUUUUUACCACACCCAGUUGUUACCUGGCUGGAGGAAAAACCACCAUAUGGGUUCUGUUGUUUGAUAAGCCAGAACACAAUGCGGGAAAUAUGGGACAAGUCUUCUGGAGCAAAUUUUGUUCUGUUGAGCAAAGCCAGGAGCACAUAGCUGGUAAUUUCAAUCUCAGCAGAAGGGGCACGGGAAUAGAAGACAGGGAAAUGUUCUGCUGGUGGCUUAUUUUCUCUCUGCCAAUGAAUUGAACCACCUGAAAACAGAAAAGUGGGGUGUAAAAACUAUGGAAAAAUUACUUGCUGUUUUAUUCAUUGCUGUAUCAUUGCAGGAAAUAGAUAUACAAUUCUGUCUCUCCCUCUAUUCAGGAAAUUUUUUAAGCUGUGGGUGUCCUGAACUGGGUAAGUUUUAUUUAUUUAUGGAAAAGAAAACAGAAAGCGAUGGAAAGAGAAUUAAUAAAAGGAGGCUGUAUAAGUCAGAGAGAGAUUGAAGUGAAGGCAGGGCAGCAGAAGGAUGCUAAGGCAGUCACAGACAGAAGUACAUAACAUAGUGAAGGGAAUUGAGCUUGUUCAGCAUGUAGAAGAGGAACCUAAUCAGGAAAUUAGGUACAAUCUUCCAGUACCUUGGACUGAGACUUGUGGGGGACUCUCUCUCCACCUAAAUUGUCUCAUAAUUCUUAGAAGAUCAGGCCACAGCUCAAACUUUUUGAAGCCCAACUAGACAGACAGAAAAACUCCUAGAGAUAAAUUCAGUAGCAUAGCAGGUAUGAAAUGGGAAGGGAGCAGCAUGCAUGUGAAAACUGUGCAUCAGAAUAGCUUACAUCACAUAAAGGCCAUUCCAUCAGCUGUAUUGCUUGUACCAUGUCCAUACUACCCUUACCAUUUCUGACAGCUGUCCUGUCCAGCUUCUCCAGGAAGAACUGAUGUCUUUCCUCUUUGCCAGCUAAGCCAUAAGCAUAGGCAAAGAGGGCCUGGUUAUACAGGUUGUGGACCCCAUUGGUAAAUGCAGUCUCCAAACAGUUCAUGCCGCUCUGAAUGACAGGAUGCUGAUAAUGCAAAACACAGUAGGCUUGUCAGGUGCUUGGGUUUGUGUCUCUGCUUCUCUUUAAAUACUUCCAUCACUGUUUAAGCUGCAAUCACUGCCCCUUCAUUCUAGAAAUAUACAUUAUCCAUGGCAUGUUUAAGGGCCUACAGUGUGUAUCAAACCUUUCAGCCUUACAGACUAUCUCUGCGAGACCUACUUCAUCUCAGACAUUACCAGCACACUACUUACCAUGUCUUAUCUACGCAGCUUCACUUAAACAUACGGCACCAGGUUCUUGUAAAGAUACUGGAAACUAAAUUAAUGUUGCUGAAGAACUAUUUGAUUCUGGACAAUGUUUUCAUCCUGGUCUCAGAUACUUAAAUGAUGUCCCAUACCACAGUAACUGAGAAAUGUGCAAAAAAUCAGCACAUCUACAACAUAUUUGUCAGCUUGGGAACAAUUCUCCUCUUCCCCAUUAUAAAAGAACAAAGUCAGCAUAAAAACAGGGUGGCAAGGAAAUGCAGGAAGUAUACUAUGCAGAACAGAACUUGGAUGUCAUUGCCCUAUGUCUAGUAUUCCCACCAGCAACUCGUCAUUUCCUCCCAUUACUAACAAUUCCACAGGGAAAUGGAAACGUAACUUGGAUCCAAAUGUACAGAGUGAUUUGGCAGGACUGAAGGUUUGAAUAGCCUGAACUUUGGACUGGGCAAAAUCAGAGAAAAUUCCAAAGUGGACUCUGGAUGGGGUGGGCAAAUUCAGUCUGGAUUUUGCACCUACUUAGACUACUAUUACUUAAAACUGGAUUCCGUAGAGGUUUUUUAAGUUAAUCCAUAGUUACUAGAUACAUAAGUGAUUUGUUACACUCAUCAAACACUUAUGGCUACUUCAGGGUUCUGGAAACUACUGUCUACAGACUGCUACUGUCCUACAAUCAUUAUUCAAGUUCCACAUUGUUAAAUAAUACAGAUGUGAGGACUAUGACUUGUGGACUCUUUGACAAAUGGCUGACUGUACUAACAGAGCACCAAAUACCUACUGCAGCAGAGUGUCCAGCCUCCAGCAAUGCUGCCACCACGUAGGCUGUGAGUGAGUAUUCAGCCUCUUCUCCACCCUGAUGAAAAACAAGCAAAGAAUUGGUUAGUACAAAUAUCCUAGAAAGAAACAACAUAGUUAAUUCAUAGCUCAUAUGUCAGUUAGAUUUGAGAUCUGAAGUAAUUUCUGUCUCCCUGUGUGCACAGGAAUAAGAAAGAUCAAGUUCACUUAAUAUAAAGUUAAAAUUAUUUAAUGCAUUUUCUUGACUUUUGCAUAUAUGUGAUAAAGCACAUUAUAACCUAUGGCUAUGCCCAUAACACAGUAAUGGAAAAUAAAGCCUGAGACUUAUAACUCAUAAAGUUCGAAUUGUUUUUGUUUCAUCAUCAAUUACAGACAUUAGAAUCAUGCUCUGCUUGUAUAUGAGAGACACAAGAGAACAGUACUAGGAAGAGUAAGGGUGUGGUGGCAAGCUUGUGUAUGUCAGAAAUUGUCCAAAUCAAUCCUAACAGCGGGACUGGAAAUUUGAGACUAUACUCAGUUACCUUCAAAGCAUUGUUGAAAUGCGACCCAGCAUUUUCAAAGCAGCCAUCUGACUUCUGCUUGCU